AUUGAACGCUGGCGGCAGGCCUAACACAUGCACGUCGAGCGGAGCGGCGGAAGGGUGAGUAAUGCCUAGGAAUCUGACUGGUAGCGGGGGAGAAAGUCCGGAAACGGGAGCUAAUAACGCCUCCUCUCUGAUGAACCUAGGACGGAUUGGCUAUUUGGUGGGGUAAAGGCCUACCAAGGCGAAGAACCGAAACUGGUCUGAGCGGAUGAUCAGUCACACUGGAACUGAGACACUGUCCAGACGCCGACGGGAGGCAGCAGUGGGGAAUAUUGGACAAUGGGCGAAAGCCUGAUCCAGCCAUGCCGCGUGUGUGAAGAAGGUCUUCGGAUUGUAAAGCACUUUAAGUUGGGAGGCGUUACCAACAGAAUAAGCACCGGCUAACUUCGUGCCAGCAGCCGCGGUAAUUC
RNAcentral lists this ribosomal RNA (407 nucleotides) under uncultured bacterium. RNAcentral describes it as "partial 16S ribosomal RNA". It matches the Rfam family "Bacterial small subunit ribosomal RNA", at positions 30 to 526 of the family's 1533-position model. The record is from RNAcentral.